Molecule: transfer RNA, 66 nt
Filed under: Craugastor augusti (barking frog)
Lineage: Eukaryota; Metazoa; Chordata; Amphibia; Anura; Craugastoridae
Description: tRNA-Trp
Source: RNAcentral
GAUAGGGAGAGGACUCAAACCUCUGUGUCUCGGAGCUACAAGCCGCCGCCUUUCUCUCGGCCACCC